UUUACUACCUCAUCAAGAACAUUUUGAGGUGCUGGUUGAGCUUGACUUCUUUGGUAGUUCUGAUGGUUGUUGGCUCUCCCAUAGCUGAAAUUGGGGUGGUCUCUCUAGCCUGGAUUGUAUGUGUUGGAAUAUGGAUCAUGUAUAGGCUGGUUGUUGUACCCUCCAAUGGCAUUUGCUUGCUGAUGGUCUUCUUGGAGUGUAGGACAUUGAUCAGUUGGAUGUCCCACAUAUGAACAGAUACCACAUGGCCUAGGUGGCUGGGUUGCUUGAAUCUGUUGAACCAGUCCUAUGGCAAAAUCUUUCAUCACAGAUGUUAGUUCAGAAAUAGUGGAUGAACUUACCUCAUUGGCUCUUUGCAGUUGCUUUUCUUCUCCAUAUUGCCUAGAUGAGGCUGCAAGGGUAGAUAUCAACUCUCUCAUCUCCCUCGGUGUCUUGUCUAUAAUGGAUCCUCCACAAGCUACAUUUAUGAAUUUUCUUUCUGAUGGGAGCAAUCCUCCAUAGAAGAACUAUAUGAGGGCCUUGUCUGACAUAUCGUGUUGUGGACAACCUGUAUAUAGUCUUUCAAACCUUUCCCAAUAAUCAUAUAAGUCCUCAGUUUGUUUCUGUCUUAUGCUAGUGAUUUCUCUUAUUAUGCCAAUUGAUUUAGAUGGUGGGAAGUAUUUGUCCAAAAAAGUUUGGACCAUAUCAUCCCAAGAAGUGAUAGAUCCAGGUGGCAAAUAAAAUAACCAAUCCUUAGCAUAGUCAUCUAAUGAAAAGGGAAAAGCUCUUAACUUAACAUGAUCUUCAGAGAUACCUUGAGGUCUCAUGGAUGAACAAACAAUAGUGAAUUCUUUCAAGUGCUUGUGUGGAUUUUCA
Molecule: long non-coding RNA, 855 nt
Filed under: Manihot esculenta (cassava)
Lineage: Eukaryota; Viridiplantae; Streptophyta; Magnoliopsida; Malpighiales; Euphorbiaceae
Description: long non-coding RNA (MESC_LNC004638)
Source: RNAcentral